Long non-coding RNA from Amphiprion ocellaris (clown anemonefish), 1241 nucleotides. NCBI's taxonomy places the organism in Eukaryota, Metazoa, Chordata, Actinopteri, Pomacentridae. The record is from Ensembl.
GGUUGCGGUGACGGUAAAGUGGAGAGCAAAAUAAUAGCAGGCAGAAAUCAGAAACAGUCCAUAAGAGAACAAUAAACACUGGGGAGGUUGGUGAGGCCAGUAAUUGCAGUUGAGAAACAUGCAGCUCUGGAGCCUAGUAUAUCUGCAGAUGGUAAAACUCAAUCUACAGGAGAGGUAAGAAACAAAGUUAAUGACGUGCACUAGUGGAAUAUAAAUGUAUGACGAGUAAAGAAGAUGAUUGUGCAGGAGAGGCCCUCAGUGCAUCGUGGGAUGUUCCCCACCAGGCUAGACCUUUAGACUGCUAAAGGUCUAGCCUAAGCGGCAGGUUCUCCUCCCUUCUCUCUCUCCCGCUCUCUAGGUGGGCAUGUGUGUGGAGUGUGGUAUGCAGGCAGGUGCUGCCAAUCACAAUCAGCAGAACUGGCACGAAAGCAGGUGGAAAUGAUCACCUCCCAUACAGAGCCAGAUGCUGCCACUACUCGGUGCUGGAUCUUAACAAUACCACAUACCGGACUCCUGCCUGCUCUUCUACAAGUCUGCCCAAACCUGCCUCCUCUGUCAAGUUUGGAUCAAGUCGUCUCUCAGUCCGUUCUGCCGCUGCAUCGGCAAGAUUCCUGGCUAUCCUCCACUAAUGACAGCACCUGCCCAGCUGCACCAGUCGCAGCUCUGCCACACACCAUCACCACUCGCCUCACGCCCCUGGCUCCCCUAUUCUCUGUUCAUUGCUCAGCUAAGUUCUCCGCUCACUUCCGAGCCUGUUCAAUUUAGUAUUUAGUCUCUCAGUAGUCCUGAGUUUUGUGUAUCGCCGAAUUUUUGGCUCAUGCCUGUAGAGUUAACCCUUUAGGCGCCACAGUUUUUUCAAUAAAAUAUUCAGUUUUGAUAUCACUUUUUCAAAAGGUUGUGACUUGAAAAUGAUUAGAGAUAAAGGCAUACUGUAAAUGAGUAAAAUCAUCAGUAUGAUCCAAAGUUUGUGAUGGGAGUAAGUUCACUCAUCUAAUUUGCAUAUUAUGACGUCAUCAGGCGGCGGACAUAUGGAUUACAUAACUUUCACAGAUGUUUAUCGAUCAAGAUGGCAUUGCUUGGCUCAGAAUUUGUCAGAUUCCUGUCUCCACGAUACCCAACAGGCUCAUCAGAAUGUCUGAUCCACUUUGUGUCCUGAAACCAUAUGCAAUUGAAAUAGCAUUUGCCGUACUAUUUAAAACUACUAACAUCACUGUAAUAAAAUUGUUCAUCAUGAAAUUGCC